RNAcentral lists this ribosomal RNA (269 nucleotides) under uncultured bacterium. RNAcentral's name for it is "partial 16S ribosomal RNA". It matches the Rfam family "Bacterial small subunit ribosomal RNA", at positions 85 to 354 of the family's 1533-position model. The record is from RNAcentral.
CGGCGACUGAACGGCGGACGGGUGAGUAACGCGUGGGCAACCUGCCCCAUACAGGGGGACGAACGGCCGGAAACGGCCGCUAAUACCGCAUGAUUCCUCUUGGCGCAUGGCCGGGAGGGGAAAGCCGAGACGGUAUGGGAUGGACCCGCGUCUGAUUAGCUGGUUGGCGAGGUAACGGCUCACCAAGGCGACGAUCAGUAGCCGGCCUGAGAGGGCGACCGGCCACAUUGGGACUGAGACACGGCCCAAACUCCUACGGGAGGCAGCAG